RNAcentral lists this ribosomal RNA (484 nucleotides) under uncultured bacterium. RNAcentral describes it as "partial 16S ribosomal RNA". It matches the Rfam family "Bacterial small subunit ribosomal RNA", at positions 30 to 507 of the family's 1533-position model. The record is from RNAcentral.
AUUGAACGCUGGCGGAAUGCUUUACACAUGCAAGUCGAACGGCAGCACGGGGGCAGCCCUGGUGGCGAGUGGCGAACGGGUGAGUAAUACAUCGGAACGUGCCCGGUCGUGGGGGAUAACGUAGCGAAAGUUACGCUAAUACCGCAUACGAUCUGAGGAUGAAAGCGGGUGACCUUCGGGCCUCGCGCGAUCGUAGCGGCCGAUGUCAGAUUAGGUAGUUGGUGGGGUAAAGGCCUACCAAGCCGACGAUCUGUAGCUGGUCUGAGAGGACGACCAGCCACACUGGGACUGAGACACGGCCCAGACUCCUACGGGAGGCAGCAGUGGGGAAUUUUGGACAAUGGGCGCAAGCCUGAUCCAGCCAUUCCGCGUGCAGGACGAAGGCCUUCGGGUUGUAAACUGCUUUUGUACGGAACGAAAAGGCUCUGGCUAAUACCUGGGGCUCAUGACGGUACCGUAAGAAUAAGCACCGGCUAACUACGUG